Long non-coding RNA from Halichondria panicea, 666 nucleotides. RefSeq lists it as uncharacterized. The transcript is spliced from 2 exons. The record is from RefSeq and is a predicted model, not a curated record. NCBI's taxonomy places the organism in Eukaryota, Metazoa, Porifera, Demospongiae, Suberitida, Halichondriidae.
GGCGUUGCAAUACUUUGUAGCGUUCCCUCGAACAUAUCUCCGGAUAGAAAAUAGCUAGGAGGUCGAUCUUGGUAUCAUUUUGAAGCUUAGAGAACGCUUUAUCCGAUUCAACAAUAAAAAUAAACUUGGGUACACCCGCGUUAAGGGGUGUUUUCCUAGGCCCUGUCACAUUUGAUAGAUCCUUGUAGUACAACCUCAGUGAGGUUCUAGGGAAGCUAUAUAGACAGUGACAAUAUCGAUGCUUAUGGCGUUGUAGAGUGAGAGGACAGUGACUGGGAUCAUAGCUAGAUAACGAGCUAUCUCAAGCUAGAGCCUGAGGAAGGAAGAAGCUCUUGCGAUGGAACAACUUCUUGGAUCUGGUGAAGAAAACCUUUCCCGGGAAAAGGGCGUCUGCUGAUACGACCUCGCAGAUAACUUUCUGCAGAUCUUGAUUGUGUCACCGUGAGAACAUUGAGAACACUUAUUAGUCACUCUGUGCCUUCAUUCAAUAAUUAUUGUUUGUGUACAUAAUUGUGAACGUUUGUAAACAAUUGCUAAUUAGUGGGGGUGGUCAGUUGCUAGGUAACGAAGAUGGUGUCAAGAUACCUCUGGGGUCUGCGCUACCUGUUACAAGUCAUUUCAAUGUAUGGUUCAUGAUAAUUAGAAAAUUGUUUUUGUAUUUUCUUG